This is a long non-coding RNA of Oncorhynchus keta (chum salmon), 2990 nucleotides long. RefSeq lists it as uncharacterized. NCBI's taxonomy places the organism in Eukaryota, Metazoa, Chordata, Actinopteri, Salmoniformes, Salmonidae. The record is from RefSeq and is a predicted model, not a curated record. The transcript is spliced from 7 exons.
UCAUGAGGUUAUAGCUAACGCUACAUUAACAUAAGGGGUCCUGUUGCUCAUCAUGAGGUUAUAGCUAACGCUACAUUAACAUCAGGGGUCCUGUAGCUCAUCAUGAGAUUAUAGCUAACGCUACAUUAACAUUAGGGGUCCUGUAGCUCAUCAUGAGAUUAUAGCUAACGCUACAUUAACAUCAGGGGUCCUGUAGCUCAUCAUGAGGUUAUAGCUAACGCUACAUUAACAUCAGGGGUCCUGUAGCUCAUCAUGAGGUUAUAGCUAACGCUACAUUAACAUCAGGGGUCCUGUAGCUCAUCAUGAGGUUAUAGCUAGAUGCUGUAUGGAAAACCAUCCUCAAGCUAACCACAGCAUUCUAUUACAGCAUGUUGCUGACGGCUCUCUCUGCACGUCACACACACACUCCAAUACAUACCACAGAGAUAGUGAGAAACUCUACACCCCACCCAAGCACUGAUGUCACCCUGGAGAUGGUUGUGUUAUUGUGUGUUAUUGUGUGUGUGUGUGUGUGUGUGUGUGUGUGUGUGUGUGUGUGUGUGUGUGUGUGUGUGUGUGUGUGUGUGUGUGUGUGUGUGUGUGUGUGUGUGUGUGUGUGUGUGUGUGUGUGUGUGUGUGUGUGUGUGUGCCAAUGUGUGUGCAUUGGCCCGAGGCAGUCUGUGUGUGUGUGUGUGUGUGUGUGUGUGUGUGUGUGUGUGUGUGUGUGUGUGUGUGUGUGCGCGCAUUGGCCCGAGGCAGAGUGUGAAGCUUUUAUUGGGAUUUGCAAAUCAACUACAAGUGAUAAGUGGACAGAGAAUCUGCAGAGCUUUCACACAUCCAAGGGACGCUGUCUGUGUCCGUACUCCAGCUCCCUAAAUGAGGUCUCAACACCAGCCAGGUCACCCAUGAUACAAGUCCGUACUCCAGCUCCCUAAAUGAGGUCUCAACACCAGCCAGGUCACCCAUGAUACAAGUCCGUACUCCAGCUCCCUAAAUGAGGUCUCAACACCAGCCAGGUCACCCAUGAUACAAGUCCGUACUCCAGCUCCCUAAAUGAGGUCUCAACACCAGCCUAGGUCACCCAUGAUACAAGUCCGUACUCCAGCUCGCUAAAUGAGGUCUCAACACCAGCCAGGUCACCCAUGAUACAAGUCCGUACUCCAGCUCCCUAAAUGAGGUCUCAACACCAGCCUAGGUCACCCAUGAUACAAGUCCGUACUCCAGCUCGCUAAAUGAGGUCUCAACACCAGCCAGGUCACCCAUGAUACAAGUCCGUACUCCAGCUCCCUAAAUGAGGUCUCAACACCAGCCUAGGUCACCCAUGAUACAAGUCCGUACUCCAGCUCCCUAAAUGAGGUCUCAACACCAGCCAGGUCACCCAUGAUACAAGUCCGUACUCCAGCUCCCUAAAUGAGGUCUCAACACCAGCCUAGGUCACCCAUGAUACAAGUCCGUACUCCAGCUCCCUAAAUGAGGUCUCAACACCAGCCAGGUCACCCAUGAUACAAGUCCGUACUCCAGCUCCCUAAAUGAGGUCUCAACACCAGCCUAGGUCACCCAUGAUACAAGUCCGUACUCCAGCUCCCUAAAUGAGGUCUCAACACCAGCCUAGGUCACCCAUGAUACAAGUCCGUACUCCAGCUCCCUAAAUGGGGUCUCAACACCAGCCAGGUCACCCAUGAUACAAGUCCGUACUCCAGCUAGCUAAAUGAGGUCUCAACACCAGCCUAGGUCACCCAUGAUACAAGUCCGUACUCCAGCUCGCUAAAUGAGGUCUCAACACCAGCCAGGUCACCCAUGAUACAAGUCCGUACUCCAGCUAGCCAAAUGAGGUCUCAACACCAGCCAGGUCACCCAUGAUACAAGUCCGUACUCCAGCUAGCCAAAUGAGGUCUCAACACCAGCCAGGUCACCCAUGAUACAAGUCCGUACUCCAGCUAGCCAAAUGAGGUCUCAACACCAGCCAGGUCACCCAUGAUACAAGUCCGUACUCCAGCUAGCCAAAUGAGGUCUCAACACCAGCCAGGUCACCCAUGAUACAAGUCCGUACUCCAGCUAGCCAAAUGGGGUCUCAACACCAGCCAGGUCACCCAUGAUACAAGUCCGUACUCCAGCUAGCCAAAUGAGGUCUCAACACCAGCCAGGUCACCCAUGAUACAAGUCCGUACUCCAGCUAGCCAAAUGGGGUCUCAACACCAGCCAGGUCACCCAUGAUACAAGUCCGUAUUUGACGUCUAUCCAUGUCUGAGAACGCUGUGAGAUGAUGUGGAGACUGGCCACAAGGGGCAACAGUGAGCGCUGUUACCUUCAAGAAGGUUAGGGUUUUGGAUAACAAUGGGUUGUGGAUAACAAUGUUGUAUAGGGAUUAGCAACAUGCUAAUAACGAAGUUGUGCAGAGUUUACAUAGAUCCAGUGUUUUCAGAUCACCACUAGAGCCUAGGAGGAGAGGGUCUAGGGGUCCGUUUGGAAGGGGGCCUAAGUUUACAUAGAUCCAGUGUUUUCAGAUCACCACUAGAGCCUAGGAGGAGAGGGUCUAGGGGUCCGUUUGGAAGGGGGCCUAAGUUUACAUAGAUCCAGUGUUUUCAGAUCACCACUAGAGCCUAGGAGGCUGGGGUCUAGGGUUCCGUUUGGAAGGGGGCCUAAGUUUACAUAGAUCCAGUGUUUUCAGAUCACCACUAGAGCCUAGGAGGCUGGGGUCUAGGGUUCCGUUUGGAAGGGGCCCUAAGGGCUCAGAAACAGCAGUAGAUAACCCAGAGUUCUUAGCACCUCUGAGCAUAAUGCCGGCUGUUAUUUGCAAACCGAGUGAAAAUGUCGGCAAUCAGACGUCUACAGAGGGUGGUGUGAAAGAACACAUUGCUCUGAACGAUCGGCAGACUAACGCCAGAUCCACAUUCGGUGUGAUUUAUGCUAAAUUCUUGAGUGUUCGAGGGAGUCAUGUUGGAAACCUGGCAACUGUUGAUCCCUUCCAGCACAACUGACUGACCUUGAGGCUUCAUAAAGUUCUCACGUUC